UCUGGGGCAUCACCGUUCGGCUUUUGUUGCAAGAAACUUCGAGACCGGACCACCCAGUAGCUAGAUGUGGACUUUCGAGGACUCGGACCCCGUUCCAAGUCCAGUCGUCCCUUUCUAGGCCAUUGUGCCUUUCUUCGGCGUUUUGGGACGGAACCAAGAAACCGAGUCUGGGGCGUCACCGUUCGGCUUUUGUGGGCAAGAAACUUCGAGAUCGGACCAACCAGUAGCUAGAUGUGGACUUUUGAGGCCUCGGACCCCGUUCCAAGUCCGGUCGUCCCUUUCUAGGCCAUUGUGCCUUUCUUCGGCGUUUUGGGACGGAACCAAGAAACCGAGUCUGGGCGUUACCGUUCGGCUUUUGUGGGCAAGAAACUUCGAGAUCGGACCACCCAGUAGCUAGAUGUGGACUUUCGAGGCCUCGGACCUCGUUCCAAGUCCAAUCGUCCCUUUCUAGGCCAUUGUGCAUUUCUUCGGCGUUUUGGGACGGAACCAAGUAACCGAGUCUGGGGCGUCACCGUUCGGCUUUUGUGGGCAAGAAACUUCGAGAUCGGACCACCUAGUAGCUAGAUGGGGACUUUCAAGGCCUCGGACCCCGUUCCAAGUCCGGUCGUCCCUUUCUUGGCCAUUGUGCCUUUCUUCGGCGUUCUGGGACGGAACCAAGAAACCGAGUCUGGAGCGUCACCGUUCGGAUUUUGUGGGCAAGAAACUUCGACAUCGGACCACCCAGUAGCUAGAUGUGGACUUUCGAGGCCUCGGACCCCGUUCCAAGUCCGGUCGUCCCUUUCUAGGCAAUUAUGCCUUUCUUCGGCGUUUUGGGACGGAACCAAGAAACCGAGUCUGGGCGUUACCGUUCGGCUUUUGUGGGCAAGAAACUUCGAGAUCGGACCACCCAGAAGCUAGAUGUGGACUUUUGACGCCUCGGACCCCGUUCCAAGUCCGGUCGUCCCUUUCUAGGCCACUGUGCCUUUCUUCAGCGUUCUGGCACGAAACGAAGAAACCCAGUCUGGGGCGUCACCGUUCGGCUUUUGUGGGCAAGAAACUUCGAGAUCGGACCACCCAGUAGCUAGAUGUGGACUUUCGAGGCCUCGGACCCCGUUCCAAGUCCGGUCGUCCCUUUCUAGGCCAUUGUGCCUUUCUUCUGCGUUUUGGGACGGAACCAAGAAACCGAGUCUGGGGCGUCACCGUUCGGGUUUUGUGGGCAAGAAACUUCGACAUCGGACCACCCAGUAGCUAGAUGUGGACUUUCGAGGCCUCGGACCCCGUUCCAAGUCCGAUCGUCCCUUUCUAGGCCAUUGUGCCUUUCUUCGGCGUUUUGGGACGGAACCAAGGAACCGAGUCUAGGGCGUCACCGUUCGGCUUUUGUGGGCAAGAAACUUCGAGAUCGGACCACCCAGUAGCUAGAUGUGGACUUU
RNAcentral lists this long non-coding RNA (1409 nucleotides) under Cucumis sativus (cucumber). RNAcentral's name for it is "long non-coding RNA (CSAT_LNC000282)". The record is from RNAcentral. Lineage: Eukaryota; Viridiplantae; Streptophyta; Magnoliopsida; Cucurbitales; Cucurbitaceae.